RNAcentral lists this ribosomal RNA (418 nucleotides) under Pauesia pini. Its description in RNAcentral is "partial 16S ribosomal RNA". The record is from RNAcentral. Lineage: Eukaryota; Metazoa; Arthropoda; Insecta; Hymenoptera; Braconidae.
UUACGCUGUUAUCCCUAAGGUAAUUUAUUUUAAUAUUCUAAAUUUUAGGAUUAUAAUUUCAUUAAUUUAUGUAAAUUUUAUUUAAAAGUUUUAUUAAUUAUAAAAUUACCCCAACUAAAUAUUAAUUUAUAAUUUAUAUUAUAAUUAUUAUAAUUUUAAUUAUAUUUAAUAUAAAAUUCUAUAGGGUCUUCUCGUCUUUUAAUAAUAUUUAAGAAUUUUAACUUAAAAUUUAAUUUAAAUUUUUAUUUUAUUUAUAUAGUUUAUAUUUCAUUAAAUCUUUCAUUCUAGUUUUCAAUUAAAAAACUAAUGAUUAUGCUACCUUUGUACAGUUAUUGAUACUGCAGCCAUUAAAAAUUUUUCAUUGGGCAGAUUUGACUUAAAAUUAUUUUCAAUAAGACAUGUUUUUGUUAAACAGGCG